This 4253-nucleotide long non-coding RNA is filed under the name Sarcophilus harrisii (Tasmanian devil). RNAcentral describes it as "lncRNA (ENSSHAG00000024314.1)". Lineage: Eukaryota; Metazoa; Chordata; Mammalia; Dasyuromorphia; Dasyuridae. The record is from RNAcentral.
GCCUGGGCUCUCGGCCCCGCCAAGCUCCCGGGCCCAGCCCAGCCCAGCCCAGCCCAGCUCCGGCCAGCUCUCCUCUCCCGGCUCCCUGCGAAGGGGGGGGUGGGGGGGGAUCCCUUUCACGCCAGCAGCCGCGGUCUCCCGAAAAGCCGCAGGACCACGUUGAUUUGCCAUUCUCAAAGAUUUUUUUUUUUUUUUUCUGGCAAAAUAAAAAAAAUACAAAACCCAGCCCGACUUGCAGGGGCGAAGCUUAGCCGGGGGGCCGCCGCAGCCCAGCCCAGCUCGGCGCUUGUCGGAACCUCCUGGACGAAGAGCAGCGCGCGGACGUCGGGUCCACCUGUGUCCGCCCGAGGCACGGCGACGCGAGCCUCAGGACCCCCCGCCCCCACCCGGCUCCCGGGCCGGCGGCCCCUCCGACCCUUCCCCGGGCUGCAAAACGGAGCUUUUCUCCCCGGCUCCAAGUGCCGCCCCAGCCCAGCCCGAAGGCGCAGGGGGGUGCAAAGGAAAGGAACUGGCCACCCAACUUUGGAAAAGUUUCCGGGGGGCUCCGGCUCGCUGAUUUCCCCCUUCUUCGACCACAGAUUCUGUGAGAUUUUUUUUCACGUCCCCCCACCCCAAAUACUGCGAUUAAUCUAAGCCUGGGGGAGAGGGGAUUCGCCCUCUCUCGUCCGUCUUGGGGAGCGCCAACAGGGGUGCCCUUUUUUUUUCCCCCGGAGGGGUCCGGAGCCCCUUGCCCCGCGGCCUACCCCAAACAGCCCCCUACUCUCUCCCCACCCACACCCCGGGGACGGUGGAUGCGCGCUCCGGCUCGGGAUCCGCCCGGGUAGCGCCCCCAGGCCGCCCCGAGCGCCGGCGCCAGCGGCUGCAGAAGGACGGGGCCAGAGCGGCCCCAGGCUCGCCAGGAGCCGGGCGGGGGGCGACGGCGCCCCGGGGGCCAUGCGGCUGAGUGGUGCCGGGGGCGGCGGCGGCACCAGCGGAAAGAGCCCGAGCGCCUGAGCCGGUGGGAAUCGAGGCGAAGCGGGCCGAGCGCCAGCACGCACACCCUGGCCUGGAAGCAGGCACGGAGGCGCCCUCCGCCCCUGUGUCCGGAGCCCCGCGGGGCCGGCGGCGUCGGGAUGAAUUGCUGGGCGCUGCUCUUAUCUCUCUGCUACCUGCCUCUGGUCAGCACCGAGGGGGACCCCAUUCCCGAGGAGAUCUAUGAGCUGCUCAGCCACCCCUCGCUCCGAUCCAUCAGUGACCUCCAGCACCUGCUGCGGAUAGACUCCAGGAGGAUGUGGCCGAACUGGACCUGAACCUGACUCAGGCGCGUUUCCCCAGUGAGCCGGCCAGCCUGUCUCGCGGAAGGAGGAGCGUGGCGGCCGUGACUGUGGCCGAGCCAGCCAUGAUCGCCGAGUGCAAGACGCGGACGGAGGUGUUCGAGAUCUCCCGGCGCCUCAUUGACCGCACCAACGCCAAUUUCCUGGUGUGGCCGCCCUGCGUGGAGGUGCAGAGGUGCUCGGGCUGCUGCAACAACCGCAACGUGCAGUGCCGCGCCACGCAGGUGCAGCUCAGACAUGUACAGGUCAGGAAGAUAGAAAUUGUGCGGAAGAAGCCAACCUUUAAGAAGGUGACGGUGACCUUGGAGGAUCACUUGGCCUGCAAGUGCGAGACCAUAGCAACCCCCCGGUCCUUGCCCCGGAGCCCCCCGAGCAUCCAGGGAAACAGAGGUGGGUCCACCCCAAACAAAGUGACAGUGAGGAGGGUACGCAUCCGACGGCCGCCCAAGGGGAAGCACCGAAAGUUCAAGCACACCCAUGACAAGACAGCCCUGAAGGAGAGUCUUGGAGCAUAGGGGCACCCGCCAGAGAGAGCAUGAUGGGCAGGUUUAUUUAAUGUAGUUCUCGUAUUGCCCCCAUGGGGUUCUUGGAGUGAGAAUAUUGUUCUUCUUGUCUGUCCGUCUCGAUGGCCGACGCGGAUGACAAAUGGUGCUUCCCCUGCCCCACGGCCUUGCAGUGGAUCUUCCAUCCCCCCCAGCUCAGCAGCACCCUGGCCCUCUGUGCCCAGCAGCUCCCGGGGGCUUCCAGAGGCCCCAAUGCCAUCCUUCCCACUGGCAGUGGAGAAGGCCUUUGGCUAGAGGGGCUGCUUCUUCCAGAAGGCCCUGCUGGGGUGAGAGGUGGGACUGUGGACUCAGAGGACUCCAAGCGUUGGCCCAACAAGCCGGAUUUUGCCCUAGGACUCGUAGCAUCGGCCCAGAGCCUGAGUGUCCCUGACCCUGGACUGGUGGGGCUGCCCGCAGGAACCUUCUUCCCCUGGCCAGCACCCACGGAGCACGGAGCUGGACCCGGCAGUCCCUGUCCCCUCCUGCCCAUCCCCUGCUUGAUUAUUUCACUUUUUAUGCACAUAAUUUGGAAACUGGUUUCUUCUGAAGCGGGUUUUGCCACGGGAGAGCAGCCUGUGGCCUGUGGUGCUGACGGGAGGCUCACCCCCUGCUCCUGGCACGUGGGUGGGCUGUAGAGGGAAGAAGGGCUCAAUCCUGUCUCUCACCACUCCCUCCUUCCAUUUCUCUGCCCUCCUCAUCCUACAUCAUGGUUGGCCCCAACCUCAAUGGAACACCUCCAGCCCUGGAGAGGCAGGAGUGGGAGCGAAGGAGGGAGGAGGGAGGAGAGUGGGAAGAUCCCCUAGUCCACCCCCACCCCUGGCCUCAUCCCAGCCCCUCUCUAGGUCUCAUUUUCCCCAUCUGUAAAAUGAGAGACUUGGACUACAUUACUUCUGAGGUUCCAUCCAACUCUAAAAAAUCCGUCCCUGAGCAUCUUGGGAGACAGAAUGCCCCAUGUGACCCCAUAUGUAGCUUCCAGAGGCUGCUGAGUCUUUGAGGAAGCCCCGCCCCCCAAACCUCCCAAGGCCUGAUCCCGGGGUCUCCUGGGGGAAGGACUGGGUGGGGAUGACUGAAGGGAGGGGCAGGCUUGCCUUCCCAUCUAUCCCACGUUCUGCAGCUUUCUCUUACUCAGAAACCCGCUUCCUUCAGUUUGUAAAGUUGGUGAUUAUAUUUUUUUUGGCUUUUCUUUUAUUUUUUAAAUGUAAAAUUAAUUUAUAUUCUGUAUUUAAAAUUGUAAAAAAAAAAAUCAAACCAUAUGACACAAGGACAAAUGAACCCACCAGUUCUGUCUCCGUCUAUCACCUAUGUAUCCCCCUUCCCUCCUUCCCUCCCUCCAUCAGGGGAGCUGACAGUGGACUGCUGACUGACUCCCCCAAAAGAGUCCUUUGCUCUGAAUUUCUGGGUCCCCAGCCCUAAAAGGGGCACAGUCACUCUAUUUACCUUUCUCCUCUAGUCCCCAAAGUAAAGUCCUGGAUUUGAACUCAGCCUCUGCUGAUUGCCAGCUAUAAAACCUUAAGUAAGCCACUUUACCUAUUGAGCCUCAGUUUCCCCAUCUGUAAAAUGGGGAUAUUGGACUGGCUUAUCUCUAAAGCUCUUCCCAAAUCUAAAAGUAGUGGGACAGAUGAAACAUUGCCCUAGUCUGUGAGUUCAAAUCCGACCUUGGACACUAGCAUGUGACAAAUCAGUCCCCCACUCUAAAGCUCAUUACUUCAUGUACCAAAUGGGGAUAAUAUUUCUCUCUACCAGAAUGGUGGUAGGGAUCCCAUGAAAUGAGGGCAGGGGGCUCUUCCAGGUCUGUGUCUUAAACACUCUGUUCUUAAACAAGGACCAAUCUGGGGCUGAGCCCUUCAAACCAAGAUGUGACCUGGCCCCAGAACCCCAGAACACUCAGGACACCAACAUUACCGAUGGUCACUUCCAUUUCCAUUUAUUUUACAUUUAAAUCUGGUUCGGCUCAUUCUGGGGAGUUGUCUCUAAGAAAUGUAGAAAGUCCAAGUCUCUGCACAAGGUUCCGAAGUCAUUCAUGUUCCGCUUGAAUACUUCCGCAGUGGCAGAGUUCAUUACCUAAAAGGGCAGCUCUUCCAUUGUACGGUUCUGAUGGUUAGAAUAUUCUGCCUUCUAUGGAACUGAAGUCGGGCACCCAGUGACCAACAAGCUUUUACUAAGUGCUCCCUUUGGGCCAGACACUGCCAAGGGUUGAGGAUGCAAAAAAAAGGCAUAAUUACAUUUCCUACCCUCAAGAAACUUACAUUUUCCCAGGCCUUUUUAAAAUCAACCUGUUCAUUUUUUAUAGAACAGCAACAUUUCAUUACUUUCACACAUCGUAAUUUAUUCAGCCAUUCCCCAAUUGAUGGGCAUUCACUUAAUUACUAGUUUCUUGCUAGGACCGCCACAAACGGUU